ACUACGGAAGGGCUGUAUUUAUUGGAUACCAAAACCAUCCUUCCCUCGGGAAGUUUUGUUUGAUGAUUCACAAUAACUGAUCGGAUCGCCACUGUGGUGGCGACAGGUCAUUCAACAUUCUGCCCUAUCGGCUUUCGAUGGUUGUGUAGUGGACAACCAUGGCCAUAACGGGUAACGGAGAAUCAGGGUUCGAUUCCGGAGAAGGAGCUUGAGAAUUGGCUACUACAUCUAAGGAAGGCAGCAGGCGCGCAAUUACCCAAUCCCGAUUCGGGGAGGUAGUGACAAAAAUAACAAUACCGGGCCUUUUUGGGCUUGGUAAUUGGAAUGAGGGAGAGUUAAACGGACCAUCGAGUAUCCAUUGGAGGGCAAGUCUGGUGCCAGCAGCUGCGGUAAUACCAGCUCCAAUAGCGUAUAUUAAAGUUGUUGCAGUUAAAAAGCUCGUAGUUGGACUUGUGUGCGCUGUCCGCGGGUGGCCUGCGCCCAAAAGGGCGUUUCGGUUCGGCCCCGGUGGCGCCUUGAAAUCUGCAGCUGGGGGGACGUUGGCCUUAACUGGUCGGCGACCGCACGCCGGCUGCUCGGUUACUGUGAGAAAAUUAGAGUGUUCAAGGCAGGCAUUGGGUGCAAUUGAAUACAUUAGCAUGGAAUAAUAAAAUAUGGCUCCUGCCGUAUUUUGUUGGUUUGACUGGUGGGAGUAAUGAUUGAUAGGGACGGUUGGGGGUGCUAGUAUUGAGCGGCCAGAGGUGAAAUUCAUGGAUUCGCUCAAGACUAACUUAUGCGAAAGCAUUCACCAAGGACGUCCUCUUUAAUCAAGAACGAAAGUUGGGGGAUCGAAGACGAUCAGAUACCGUCGUAGUCUCAACCAUAAACUAUGUCGACUUGGGAUCGGCGGUAGUUUUUUCAUUAAGACACUGUCGGGACCACGGGAGAAAUCAAAGUGUCUGGACUCUGGGGGAAGUAUGGUCGCAAGGCUGAAACUUGAAGGAAUUGACGGAAGGGCACCACCAGGAGUGGAGCCUGCGGCUUAAUUUGACCCAACACGGGGAAACUUACCAGGUCCAGAGAUGUAGAGGAUUGACAGAUUGAAGCUCUUUCUUGAUCACUUCGGUGGUGGUGCAUGGCCGUUCUUAGUUGGUGGAGUGAUUUGUCUGGUUAAUUCCGUUAACGAACGAGACCUCAGCCUGCUAGUCUAGUCGGCUGGAUUGCCUUUGGCGAUCCGUGAUUUCGACUUCUUAGAGGGACAAUCGACGCGCAGUCGAUGGAAC
RNAcentral lists this ribosomal RNA (1262 nucleotides) under metagenome. RNAcentral's name for it is "SSU rRNA". It matches the Rfam family "Eukaryotic small subunit ribosomal RNA", at positions 189 to 1443 of the family's 1831-position model. The record is from RNAcentral.